UUAUAGAUUGCUCUGCCAGUUUCCGUUCCAGCGUAAACGUGUUUCUUUUCGUGCGUGACUUCAAUUAUGGCGGUGGGUAAAAAUAAGGGACUUUCGAAAGGAGGUAAAAAAGGUGUUAAAAAGAAGAUCGUCGAUCCCUUUACUCGUAAGGAUUGGUAUGAUGUUAAGGCACCAUCUAUGUUUACCAACCGUCAUGUUGGCAAAACAUUGGUCAAUAGAACUCAAGGAACAAAAAUUGCUUCUGAGGGAUUAAAAUACAGAGUAUUUGAAGUAUCCUUAGCAGAUUUACAAAAUGAUGGAGAUGCAGAAAGAUCUUUUCGUAAAUUUAGAUUGAUUGCUGAAGAUGUACAACAUCGUAAUGUAUUGACAAACUUCCAUGGUAUGGAUUUAACUACAGAUAAAUUAAGAUCCAUGGUUAAAAAAUGGCAAACUCUGAUAGAAGCUAAUGUUGAUGUAAAAACUACUGAUGGAUAUUUGCUUAGAGUUUUCUGCAUUGGUUUUACUAACAAAGAUCAAUUAAGCACAAGAAAAACAUGUUAUGCUCAACAUGCACAGGUCAAAAAAAUCAGGCAGAAAAUGGUAGAUACAAUUACGAAUGAUGUUACAAAAAGUGAUUUAAAGGGUGUAGUCAGUAAGCUUUUACCAGAUGCUACUGCAAAAGACAUUGAAAAAGCUUCACAAGGAAUUUAUCCACUACAUGAUGUUUAUAUUCGCAAGGUUAAAGUAUUAAAGAAGCCACGUUUCGAAUUGAGCAAAUUACUGGAGCUCCACGGUGACGGUGCGGGUAGUAAGAGUGAAGAAGUAGGCGAAAGUGGUUCAAAAGUCGAUAGACCAGAAGGCUAUGAACCACCUGUACAGGAAUCCGUUUAAGAGAAUAAUUCUCUUUCAUAAUUUGAUAUAAAUAAAAACCACGUUUCACUGAUUAAGUUUAUUUCGUACUUCCAAGAGAUUUGAAUUAUCGAAGUCCCACUGAUUGUUGGCAUAAUAUUCAAAAACUUCGAAACCUUUUUGUAUCCGACGUUGUACACGGCACAUACUAUUCAUAGUAAGAGUUUUAUAUCCUUUAAUGUCGUUAAAAUGAUUUGAUUUGGAAAUAAUUGAUCAUCUAUAAAUGAAAAAUUAUAAUUUUAAAAUAUACUUACAUUGGCUUAUAACCUGCAAGGAAAAUAAGUGCAUCUAUGAAAUAAGCAGGUAUCAUAUGAAAGAAUAAAACACAUAUAUUAUG
RNA transcript from Apis laboriosa (Himalayan honeybee), 1225 nucleotides. It is a transcript of the gene named 40S ribosomal protein S3a, with no coding region annotated. NCBI's taxonomy places the organism in Eukaryota, Metazoa, Arthropoda, Insecta, Hymenoptera, Apidae. The transcript has 6 exons. The record is from RefSeq and is a predicted model, not a curated record.